Non-coding RNA from Ciona savignyi (Pacific transparent sea squirt), 119 nucleotides. The record is from Rfam. NCBI's taxonomy places the organism in Eukaryota, Metazoa, Chordata, Ascidiacea, Phlebobranchia, Cionidae.
GCUUAUCACCAUUCCAGAUUGAAUAUACCCGAUCUCGUUUGAUCUCGGAAGUCAAGCAAUCUCUGGCUUGGUUAGUACUUGGAUGGGUGACCGCUUGGGAAUACCAAGUGUGAUAAGCA